AGUGAACGCUGGCGGUAGGCCUAACACAUGCAAGUCGAACGGCAGCACAGUAAGAGCUUGCUCUUACUGAUGGCGAGAGGCGGACGGGUGAGGAAUACAUCGGAAUCUACUUUUUCGUGGAGGUAAUGGAAGCGAUAGUUACUAUAGUACGACAACAGACCUAGGGUGAAAACUGUGGAAUAUGGGCACCUGCUCCACUACCAGAUGCCGCUGCGGUAUAUGCUCUUGGGGGGGGUAAAGGCCCACAAAGACGACACUCCGCAGCUCGUCUGAGAGGAGGAUCAGCCACACUGGAACUGAGACACGGUCCAGACUCCUACGGGAGGCAGCAGUGGGGAAUAUUGGACAAUGGGCGCAAUCCUGCUCCAGCCAUCCCGCGUGGUUGAAGAAGGCCUUCGGGUUGUAAAGCCUGUUUGUUGGGAAAGAAAAGCAGCAGGUUAAUACCCCGCUGUUCUGACGGUACCUAAAGAAUAAGCACCGGCUAACUUCGUG
RNAcentral lists this ribosomal RNA (492 nucleotides) under uncultured bacterium. RNAcentral's name for it is "partial 16S ribosomal RNA". It matches the Rfam family "Bacterial small subunit ribosomal RNA", at positions 29 to 507 of the family's 1533-position model. The record is from RNAcentral.